UACGGGGGGGGCAAGCGUUGUUCGGAAUUACUGGGCGUAAAGGGCUCGUAGGUGGCCAACUAAGUCAGACGUGAAAUCCCUCGGCUUAACCGGGGAACUGCGUCCGAUACUGGAUGGCUUGAGAUUGGGAGAGGGAUGCGGAAUUCCAGGUGUAGCGGUGAAAUGCGUAGAUAUCUGGAGGAACACCGGUGGCGAAGGCGGCAUCCUGGACCAACACUGACACUGAGGAGCGAAAGCGUGGGGAGCAAACAGG
This 253-nucleotide ribosomal RNA is filed under the name uncultured bacterium. RNAcentral's name for it is "partial 16S ribosomal RNA". It matches the Rfam family "Bacterial small subunit ribosomal RNA", at positions 524 to 776 of the family's 1533-position model. The record is from RNAcentral.